RNAcentral lists this ribosomal RNA (475 nucleotides) under uncultured organism. RNAcentral describes it as "partial 16S ribosomal RNA". It matches the Rfam family "Bacterial small subunit ribosomal RNA", at positions 333 to 799 of the family's 1533-position model. The record is from RNAcentral.
ACACUCCUACGGGAGGCAGCAGUGGGGAAUAUUGCACAAUGGGCGCAAGCCUGAUGCAGCCAUGCCGCGUGUAUGAAGAAGGCCUUCGGGUUGUAAAGUACUUUCAGCGGGGAGGAAGGCAAUACGGUUAAUAACCGUGUUGAUUGACGUUACCCGCAGAAGAAGCACCGGCUAACUCCGUGCCAGCAGCCGCGGUAAUACGGAGGGUGCAAGCGUUAAUCGGAAUUACUGGGCGUAAAGCGCACGCAGGCGGUCUGUCAAGUCGGAUGUGAAAUCCCCGGGCUCAACCUGGGAACUGCAUUCGAAACUGGCAGGCUUGAGUCUUGUAGAGGGGGGUAGAAUUCCAGGUGUAGCGGUGAAAUGCGUAGAGAUCUGGAGGAAUACCGGUGGCGAAGGCGGCCCCCUGGACAAAGACUGACGCUCAGGUGCGAAAGCGUGGGGAGCAAACAGGAUUAGAUACCCUUGUAGUCCCAUG